GACGAACGCUGGCGGCGUGCUUAACACAUGCCAGUCGUACGGUAAGGCCCUUUCGGGGGUCCACGAGUGGCGAACGGGUGAGUAACACGUGAGUAACCUGCCCACAACUUUGGGAUAACGCUAGGAAACUGGUGCUAAUACUGGAUAUGUGCUCCUGCUGCAUGGUGGGGGUUGGAAAGCUCCGGCGGUUGUGGAUGGACUCGCGGCCUAUCAGCUUGUUGGUGGGGUAGUGGCCUACCAAGGCGGCGACGGGUAGCCGGCCUGAGAGGGUGACCGGCCACAGUGGGACUGAGAUAAGGCCCAGACGCCUACGGGAGGCAGCAGUGGGGAAGAUUGCACAAUGGGCGCAAGCCGGAUGCAGCAACGCCGCGUGCGGGAUGACGGCCUUCGGGUUGUAAACCGCUUUCAGCAGGGACGAAGCUUUUUGUGACGGUACCUGCAGAAGAAGCACCGGCUAACUACGUG
RNAcentral lists this ribosomal RNA (465 nucleotides) under uncultured bacterium. Its description in RNAcentral is "partial 16S ribosomal RNA". It matches the Rfam family "Bacterial small subunit ribosomal RNA", at positions 28 to 507 of the family's 1533-position model. The record is from RNAcentral.